GAGUUCAUGCCCUUCGGGGUAGAUCUCCCACCCUUGAAUAUUAUACCUUAGUUGCUUUGGCAGGCCGGGGCAACCCCCCGGGCUCAGGCCUGGGAGUGCCUGCCAGAGGACCUAAACUCUGUUUGUCUAUAAUGUCUGAGUACUAUAUAAUAGUUAAAACUUUCAACAACGGAUCUCUUGGUUCU
This 185-nucleotide unclassified non-coding RNA is filed under the name rhizosphere metagenome. RNAcentral's name for it is "partial ribosomal RNA internal transcribed spacer region". The record is from RNAcentral.